UCGCCUGUUUAUUCAAAAACAUCGCCAGUAAAUAACUACCGGUAGAAUCUGCCCAGUGAUUUUAACGGCCGCAGUAUCCUAACUGUGCUAAGGUAGCAUAAUCAUUUGUCCUCUAAUUAAGAACUCGUAUGAAAGAUCUGACGAAAGACCUCCUAUUUCAGUAGUACUUUAAACUUAGAAAAGGGGUUAAAAUCCCCCUUUCGCUCAGAAGGACGACAAGACCCUAUAAAACUUUACUUUAAUCUUAUCCUUUAACUCAGAGUUAACCUAAUUUAUUAAAAGUUAUACUGGGGCGGUAAAUAAACUAAUCUCUUUAUUUUUUCAAACAAAUUUAUUGACUUUUUCAACCAUAAUUUUAAAAUCGAGAACAAGUUACUUUAGGGAUAACAGCGUAAUAAUUCUAUAGAGCACCUAUCGACAGAAAAGUUUACGACCUCGAUGUUGAAUUGAAGACCCUUUAUGAAGCAGCAUUCAUUUAAGGAGGUCUGUUCGACCUUUAAUCCUUCACAUGAUCUGAGUU
Molecule: ribosomal RNA, 520 nt
Filed under: Cilicaeopsis whiteleggei
Lineage: Eukaryota; Metazoa; Arthropoda; Malacostraca; Isopoda; Sphaeromatidae
Description: partial 16S ribosomal RNA
Rfam family: Bacterial large subunit ribosomal RNA
Source: RNAcentral